Long non-coding RNA from Anolis sagrei ordinatus, 438 nucleotides. RefSeq lists it as uncharacterized. The record is from RefSeq and is a predicted model, not a curated record. Lineage: Eukaryota; Metazoa; Chordata; Lepidosauria; Squamata; Anolidae.
AAUUGUUCCUCUCCCCCACUUUCUCCUGGCACAUCAUUUGUAUGCACCAGGAGAACUUGGGCAGCUGUCCCAUGGAGGCAGAUCCAUUGUGGAAGAAACAGGAAGGCCUGAAAUAUUUGGCAGCAGACCUGCAGGACAAGACAGUGCCUGUAUCCAAUUCCAUAUCCAAAAUUAAUUAUGUUGUUUGACUAUGUGCUGUAUAAAGAAGUAGUUCAUUGUAUCUGUUCUGCACCAACCCUCAAUCAUCUCCAGUGAAUGGCCCAGGGCUCUGCUAUGAUGGAAAAGAGAGAAAAACACCAUCUUAUCCACUUUUCCCACAUCAUGCAUAAUUGCUGUUGUUACAAGGAAGCAGUGACAUGUGGCUUUGUGUAUUAUUUAUCUUGUUUUCAAUAUUGCAUGAAGGGGAAUUUGUACAUUGUCAUCUUGUAUUUGACUUAA